Molecule: ribosomal RNA, 496 nt
Filed under: uncultured bacterium
Lineage: Bacteria
Description: partial 16S ribosomal RNA
Rfam family: Bacterial small subunit ribosomal RNA
Source: RNAcentral
GCGCACGCUGGCGGCGUGCCUCAUCCAUGCAAGUUGAGCGCUGAAGGUUGGUACUUGUACCAACUGGAUGAGCAGCGAACGGGUGAGUAACGCGUGGGGAAUCUGCCUUUGAGCGGGGGACAACAUUUGGAAACGAAUGCUAAUACCGCAUAAAAACUUUAAACACAAGUUUUAAGUUUGAAAGAUGCAAUUGCAUCACUCAAAGAUGAUCCCGCGUUGUAUUAGCUAGUUGGUGAGGUAAAGGCUCACCAAGGCGAUGAUACAUAGCCGACCUGAGAGGGUGAUCGGCCACAUUGGGACUGAGACACGGCCCAAACUCCUACGGGAGGCAGCAGUAGGGAAUCUUCGGCAAUGGACGAAAGUCUGACCGAGCAACGCCGCGUGAGUGAAGAAGGGUUUCGGAUCGUAAAACUCUGUUGGUAGAGAAGAACGUUGGUGAGAGUGGAAAGCUCAUCAAGUGACGGUAACUACCCAGAAAGGGACGGCUAACUACGUG